CCUACGGGAGGCUGCAGUAGGGAAUUUUCGUCAAUGGGCGCAAGCCUGAACGAGCAAUGCCGCGUGAGCGAGGAAGGUCUUCGGAUCGUAAAGUUCUGUUGGAGGGGAAAAAGAGCGGAGAGAGGAAAUGCUUUCUGAUUGAUAUUACCCGUCGAGGAAGUCACGGCUAACUACGUGCCAGCAGCCGCGGUAAUACGUAGGUGGCGAGCGUUAUCCGGAUUUAUUGGGUUUAAAGGGUGCGCAGGCGGAUUUUUAAGUCAGCGGUAAAAUCGUGGGGCUCAACCCCAAACAGCCGUUGAAACUGGGGGGCUAGAGUGUGGGAGAGGUAGGUGGAAUGCGUGGUGUAGCGGUGAAAUGCAUAGAGAUCACGCAGAACACCGAUGGCGAAGGCAGCACACCGGUGCACAACUGACGCUCAGGCACGAAAGCGUGGGGAGCGAACAGGAUUAGAUACCCGUGUAGUC
This 464-nucleotide ribosomal RNA is filed under the name uncultured bacterium. Its description in RNAcentral is "partial 16S ribosomal RNA". It matches the Rfam family "Bacterial small subunit ribosomal RNA", at positions 338 to 795 of the family's 1533-position model. The record is from RNAcentral.